Long non-coding RNA from Silurus meridionalis, 143 nucleotides. RefSeq lists it as uncharacterized. The record is from RefSeq and is a predicted model, not a curated record. Lineage: Eukaryota; Metazoa; Chordata; Actinopteri; Siluriformes; Siluridae. The transcript is spliced from 3 exons.
AUUAAUUGCUGUUAAUGGGGUUCCUACUCCUGACAUGCCUGGCAACCCUGCUCUUAAUGAGUGGGGUGGCACCAGGAGGCAAACCAACAACAGUAACAGCAACUACAGCCCCAAAAACUAAAACACAAACUACCACAACUACU